RNAcentral lists this ribosomal RNA (1391 nucleotides) under Salmonella enterica subsp. enterica serovar Senftenberg str. ATCC 8400. RNAcentral describes it as "bacterial LSU rRNA". It matches the Rfam family "Bacterial large subunit ribosomal RNA", at positions 1556 to 2925 of the family's 2925-position model. The record is from RNAcentral. Lineage: Bacteria; Pseudomonadati; Pseudomonadota; Gammaproteobacteria; Enterobacterales; Enterobacteriaceae.
CUGAGGCGUGACGACGAGGCACUACGGUGCUGAAGCAACAAAUGCCCUGCUUCCAGGAAAAGCCUCUAAGCAUCAGGUAACAUCAAAUCGUACCCCAAACCGACACAGGUGGUCAGGUAGAGAAUACCAAGGCGCUUGAGAGAACUCGGGUGAAGGAACUAGGCAAAAUGGUGCCGUAACUUCGGGAGAAGGCACGCUGACACGUAGGUGAAGUGAUUUACUCACGGAGCUGAAGUCAGUCGAAGAUACCAGCUGGCUGCAACUGUUUAUUAAAAACACAGCACUGUGCAAACACGAAAGUGGACGUAUACGGUGUGACGCCUGCCCGGUGCCGGAAGGUUAAUUGAUGGGGUCAGCGCAAGCGAAGCUCCUGAUCGAAGCCCCGGUAAACGGCGGCCGUAACUAUAACGGUCCUAAGGUAGCGAAAUUCCUUGUCGGGUAAGUUCCGACCUGCACGAAUGGCGUAAUGAUGGCCAGGCUGUCUCCACCCGAGACUCAGUGAAAUUGAACUCGCUGUGAAGAUGCAGUGUACCCGCGGCAAGACGGAAAGACCCCGUGAACCUUUACUAUAGCUUGACACUGAACAUUGAGCCUUGAUGUGUAGGAUAGGUGGGAGGCUUUGAAGUGUGGACGCCAGUCUGCAUGGAGCCGACCUUGAAAUACCACCCUUUAAUGUUUGAUGUUCUAACGUGGACCCGUUACCCGGGUUGCGGACAGUGUCUGGUGGGUAGUUUGACUGGGGCGGUCUCCUCCUAAAGAGUAACGGAGGAGCACGAAGGUUGGCUAAUCCUGGUCGGACAUCAGGAGGUUAGUGCAAUGGCAUAAGCCAGCUUGACUGCGAGCGUGACGGCGCGAGCAGGUGCGAAAGCAGGUCAUAGUGAUCCGGUGGUUCUGAAUGGAAGGGCCAUCGCUCAACGGAUAAAAGGUACUCCGGGGAUAACAGGCUGAUACCGCCCAAGAGUUCAUAUCGACGGCGGUGUUUGGCACCUCGAUGUCGGCUCAUCACAUCCUGGGGCUGAAGUAGGUCCCAAGGGUAUGGCUGUUCGCCAUUUAAAGUGGUACGCGAGCUGGGUUUAGAACGUCGUGAGACAGUUCGGUCCCUAUCUGCCGUGGGCGCUGGAGAACUGAGGGGGGCUGCUCCUAGUACGAGAGGACCGGAGUGGACGCAUCACUGGUGUUCGGGUUGUCAUGCCAAUGGCACUGCCCGGUAGCUAAAUGCGGAAGAGAUAAGUGCUGAAAGCAUCUAAGCACGAAACUUGCCCCGAGAUGAGUUCUCCCUGAGACUUUAGGUCUCCUGAAGGAACGUUGAAGACGACGACGUUGAUAGGCCGGGUGUGUAAGCGCAGCGAUGCGUUGAGCUAACCGGUACUAAUGAACCGUGAGGCUUAACC